This is a long non-coding RNA of Dendrobium catenatum, 4310 nucleotides long. RefSeq lists it as uncharacterized. NCBI's taxonomy places the organism in Eukaryota, Viridiplantae, Streptophyta, Magnoliopsida, Asparagales, Orchidaceae. The record is from RefSeq and is a predicted model, not a curated record. The transcript has 2 exons.
GAAGAAGCUUCUUCAGUGAAUCUUUGAAAACUCUUAUUCAUGAGAAAAGCAAAACUUAAGAAGUAGCAUAAAUGAGCGGAAGAUGGGAAAUGGAAAAAAAAACAAAAAAUAAAAAGAAAUAAUAUAUUAUUUGCACGUCAAGAGUACAUGAACAAUGGGAUAAUGACUUAAAUCUAAUAAGCAUAUGUAAAUACAUGUAGGACUAAUGAAGCGUUUUAUUAUGUGCAUUACUAAUUUAGUGUUUGAAGGUUGCUUCUAAUAAUGCAAUUGUGAUGCUUCAAAUAAUGUUGGCCGCUUAUGAUUCUAAUAAUAUUACAUUAUGAAUGCUAUAUUUGUUCUGAAUUGCAUGAAAAACAUAAAUUUAUCCCCAAGAAGAUAUUCACCUAAGAAUUUUAAAUCAAACAAAGAAACAUGUAUUUUUAAAAUGUCAAACAACUGACAGCUUAGAUGUGACAUAAUUAGUUAACUACACAUAUAUUUUGCAAACAAUAACUAAAUUAACAAAAUAAUUGAAAAUAUAUAUAGAAAGAACAAAAAUGCAAGUUACACUUUAACAAGGAUGUUGCAAUGCAACAUAUAUGUAUCAGAUAAAGUUACCUACAAUUACAAUCUGCAACCAAAAACAAAAUUAAGGAGAAAAUGAGAUAAAGAAGAAAUUAACAAUCAAGUUGUAAUUGAAAAAAGAACUACAUCUUAGAAAACUUUGGAAGACAAAAUAUCUUCAAAUCCAAAUGAGAAUUAUUUAUUCAAUAACCCAAACUACUUUAAGAGCAAGCAAAAUUUUUGAGAACUGAAGCAUAUAAUAAGAUAAGGUAUGAUUCAUGAGAAACCACCGAGCAAUGUACUCAAUGCAAGGCAUGAUAUGUGAGCAUAUCUAAUCCAAAGCACACACAGUUGAGUUCCAAAACAUCAUGGACGAUGUCUUCUAUCAUACCUUAGAUGGCCCUAUGAAAAACCAACAUCCUAGGGAAGUAGUUUGCAAUCAAUCCAAGACCCCAAACAAAAAAAUCAACUUUGGACAUACCAUAUGAUACCUACAAGUAAUUAUAUAGUAGAAACAUACUUUUCAAUGAAUAUGAAUCAUAUCGCACAAAUAUUUGUUUAGGUCAUCACACAUAUACAACUCUAGCGCAAUAAUACAUAGUCAAAUGCAGAUAGUAUUAGACCCAAAUAUAACUCAUAAAAAAAUAAUUCACACAGCAUAACCAGUAUGCAUUUUUUACAGUAACUAUAAACUUUAUACUCAGCAACGCUUCAUAACUUCAUAUUAUUUUGGACAUUAAAAUUUAUUCUUUUUAUAUUCCUACGAUUGAAAUUUUGUUUUAGUUACUGAAUGCUUACGAUAAUAUUUGUUGAUCCAAAAAUUCAUGAUAAUGGUUUAAUAUGUUACUGCCAAAGUUGCACCUCUCACAAUUUUAUUCUAGCACAAAAUUGUAGUGGUUACAUAACCUUAGCUCUCUAAUGCAGAAGUUUAUGAGGAUGGUUGCUGGUAAAAGUGCAUGCAGAAGCAGGAUUCUGAAAAAAUGCAUAAACAUAUUAACUCCCACAAAGCCUGCUUCAGCUAGAUCUGACGAAAAAAAAAGAACUACGGCAACACAAGUAUUGUAGAUACAGAGUUUUGUAAAACAAAGAAAAUGAAGAGUUUUCGUAUGUGCAUUAAUAAUUUAGUGUUUGAAGGUUUCUUCUAACAAUGUUGUUAUGAUGCUUCAAAUAAUGUUGGCCGCUUAUGAUUCUAAUAAUAUUGCAUUAUGAAUGUUAUAUUUGUUCAGUAUUGCAUGAUGAAUGUUUUAUUUUUACAUGUGAUUGAUAACAAGAAGGUAGCAAUAACCUACUUGUUAGAAAAUACAAUGUUAUUUGAAAAAAAUGAUAGCAUAUCCUGAUUAAAAUAUUGUAUCAAGAUACAUUAACAAAUUUUUAUUUUCCUUUGUAAUCAAUUUUAGUUGAAAUAACAUUAAUGCUUCAGGUUUGUGAUCAACACUAAUAACAAACUUGUCGUUAAAGAAAACCUAAAACAAUAUUUUAGGAUUAUCAAUAGUUGCAUUAUAGUCUCUAAAUAAUUUUCAUAGGUUUAUUUGGAACUUAUUGCGAUGAGCCCUGAUUGUGAUAACAAAGAGCAAGAACUUAUGAUCUGUCUCUUUAUUUAUCGGAUGUGCCGCUGGAUUAUAAAAAAAAAAUUAUUAGUCACACUCAAAGGGCCAUUUUGCAUUUAUUUCUCACUUCUCCUAUCUUCAUAAAUCUUUUUCUCAUGUCAAUAGCCCUCACUGCUCCUAUCUUCAUAAAAAGAUUAUCAUGACCUUCCUCAAUCAAUCUGCUAGCUUCCAACUUCCAAUAAUUGAAUCUCUCUCAUCUCAAAAGAGUACUAUCCUAACUUUCCUCAAUCGUCUAUCAAAUUUGGAUAUUUUACUCCCUAUUUUUAUCAUUAAACCCCAUAAUAUGUAUAUAUAUCUUUAGAAAAUUUUAUCUCAAUCAUGUCCAAUUAACAUAAUAACCUAAUAUAAAUGAGCCUUCUAUAAUGAAAUAUUGAACUAUUAAUUGAUCUAAUAAAGUAAUACACUGAUUCACCUUCAACCCUACAUAUCAAAGCUCUAACAAGUUGAUCUUUGAUAGAGAGAUGAAGCCUACAUAUUACGCAGAAAUAAUCUGUAAACAAAGACAUGGUCCUGUGUGAAUCUUUAAAAAGCUUAAUAUAAUCUUAGCGCAGGCAAAACACCAAUGGCCCAGAUCAGAUUUGAACUAAGAACAACACAAAAGCGUAGGUUGAAAUCAAUAAUACACAUUAGUUUGAUAAAACAAUGGUGUUUAGAAGAGCAAGUGUCUCAAAUUUAAUAUAAAUGAGCCUUAUAUAAUGGAAUAUUUAACUAAUAAUUGAUCUAAUACACUAAUUCACUUACAACCCUACAUAUCAAAGCUAUAACAACUAACAAGUUGAUCUUUGAUAGAGAAAUGAAGCCUGCAGAUUAUGCAAAAAUAGUUUUUAAACAAAGACAUGGUCUUGUGUGAAUCUUAAAAAAGCUUAAUACAAUCUUAACGCAGGCACGACACCAAAUGAUCUAUAUCAGAUUUGAACUAAGAACAACACCAAAGCGUAGGAUGAAAUCAAAUAAUACACAUUAGUUUGCAAAAGUAAUGGUGUUCAGAAGAGCAAGCGUCUCCACUAUUAGCCGAACCAUCGUUAAUCUCGACAUCUAACCCUUUCUCUCUUCUGAAGCGGAAAGUGAAACCUUAUUGACCUCUGGGGCUGGAGAAAUCUCCGUCGAAGGGAAGGAAGAAAAAAAAUAGAAGAAGAAUGGGAGGGAGAGGAAGAAGAAGGGGAAAAUAGAGAAGCGGAUAAAGAAGAAUAUAGAGAAAAGAAGGAAAAAAAUAGAGAAGAAGAUGGGAAUAAACGGAAAAACAAAGAAGUUGGGGAAAAGGAUGAAAAAAAAAAUAAGAAGAAGAAAAAUAACUUUAAUAACAGGAAAAAAUGCAUAAUUAAUAUUCUUAAUCAAAUUCAUCACUUAGUUUUCACCAAAAAAGUAUAUUAGAAUAUAGAAAAAAAUUAUAAUUAUAGCACUUAGGAUUGUACAUUUACUGAGAUGCGUAAAAUAGCGCAUUUCCUUAGUUGCUAAAAACUUUAAGAAGAAUAGAUUAUUCUGCAUAUAUUCAUUGGCAUGAUUGAGCCAAAUUUAACAUUAUUAACAACUAAGUUAACGACAUAAAAUGAUUCCAAAAUACACUUUCGCCUCAACUUCAAUCUCGUUUGGUUAAUUCUCUAAAAAAAUUCUAUAAAAAAACUACAGCAAAUUUCCUAAAUCAUAUAAUGAUACGAAAAAUGCAAUUUAUAAGAAAUCUUAGAAUGAUACACAAUUUCCUAAAUAAUAUUAAACACAAAAUUUUGUGAUAUUGUUUAUAAAACAAAUAUAUAUAAUUAGAUUUUAGUAAUUCAAACAAUAAGUCAUUAGCUCUUACAUUUUUCUCCACAAACAAAGAUUUAUGUGAACUACUAAUUGCUGAAAGCUUUAUUAAACUCUCAAUAAUAUAUUACCAAAUCCAAAAAAAUAAAUUAAUAAAUUCUAUUUUAUUUUAUUUUAUUUUAUUCAGAACUGAAUAGAUCCAUUUAUGCAGAAUUUUGUUUGAAAUUUCAAAUUUGUAGCUAUAAGGCAAGUAAAGUAGGAAGCCAAUGAAAAGACGUAACAGUUGCGAUUGAUAUCUAAUUAGUGCGAUACCACCCCAUUAACUUACCUCUCCACAGAAGCAUCCUUAGAAUGGUUUAGAUCUGUAAAAAAACAUCCAAGCUAUCCCACCGUAAACAAAGAAAGAAAAAAAAAAAAAAA